This 254-nucleotide ribosomal RNA is filed under the name uncultured bacterium. RNAcentral's name for it is "partial 16S ribosomal RNA". It matches the Rfam family "Bacterial small subunit ribosomal RNA", at positions 57 to 305 of the family's 1533-position model. The record is from RNAcentral.
GCAAGUCGAGCGGUAACAGGAAUAAAGUUUGCUUUCUUUUCUGGCGAGCGGCGGACGGGUGAGUAACGCGUAGGAAUCUGCCUAGUAGUGGGGGACAACAUGUGGAGACGCAUGCUAAUACCGCAUACGCCCUACGGGGGAAAGGAGGGGAUCUUCGGACCUUUCGCUAUUAGAUGAGCCCGCGUAAGAUUAGCUAGUUGGUGGGGUAAAGGCUCACCAAGGCGACGAUCUUUAGCUGGUCUGAGAGGAUGAUC